Molecule: ribosomal RNA, 253 nt
Filed under: uncultured bacterium
Lineage: Bacteria
Description: partial 16S ribosomal RNA
Rfam family: Bacterial small subunit ribosomal RNA
Source: RNAcentral
CGUAGGCGCAAGCGUUAUCCGGAAUUAUUGGGCGUAAAGAGCUCGUAGGCGGUUUGUCGCGUCUGCCGUGAAAGUCCGGGGCUUAACUCCGGAUCUGCGGUGGGUACGGGCAGACUAGAGUGCAGUAGGGGAGACUGGAAUUCCUGGUGUAGCGGUGAAAUGCGCAGAUAUCAGGAGGAACACCGAUGGCGAAGGCAGAUCUCUGGGCUGUAACUGACGCUGAGGAGCGAAAGCAUGGGGAGCGAACAGGAUU